This 492-nucleotide ribosomal RNA is filed under the name uncultured bacterium. RNAcentral's name for it is "partial 16S ribosomal RNA". It matches the Rfam family "Bacterial small subunit ribosomal RNA", at positions 29 to 507 of the family's 1533-position model. The record is from RNAcentral.
AGUGAACGCUGGCGGUAGGCCUAACACAUGCAAGUCGAACGGCAGCACAGUAAGAGCUUGCUCUUACGGGUGGCGAGUGGCGGACGGGUGAGGAAUACAUCGGAAUCUACUUUUUCGUGGGGGAUAACGUAGGGAAACUUACGCUAAUACCGCAUACGACCUACGGGUGAAAGCAGGGGAUCUUCGGACCUUGCGCGAUUGAAUGAGCCGAUGUCGGAUUAGCUAGUUGGCGGGGUAAAGGCCCACCAAGGCGACGAUCCGUAGCUGGUCUGAGAGGAUGAUCAGCCCCACUGGAACUGAGACACGGUCCAGACUCCUACGGGAGGCAGCAGUGGGGAAUAUUGGACAAUGGGCGCAAGCCUGAACCAGCCAUACCGCGUGGGUGAAGAAGGCCUUCGGGUUGUAAAGCCCUUUUGUUGGGAAAGAAAAGCAGCAGGUUAAUACCCCGCUGUUCUGACGGUACCCAAAGAAUAAGCACCGGCUAACUUCGUG